This 2229-nucleotide ribosomal RNA is filed under the name Triticum aestivum (bread wheat). Its description in RNAcentral is "partial small subunit ribosomal RNA". The record is from RNAcentral. Lineage: Eukaryota; Viridiplantae; Streptophyta; Magnoliopsida; Poales; Poaceae.
AUGGCGAUCACACUGGUCGUGCUGCUCGUGCUGCUGUUGCUACUGCCAGUGACUCGAGUCUCAGCUCAGGAGCAGCAGCAGCAGCAGCCGCCGCCGCCACAACAUGUUGUGCAGCCGGGCUGCCGUGACAAGUGCGGCAACAUCACCAUUACCUACCCCUUUGGCAUCGGCGCGGGUUGCUUCCGCGACGAUGGCCGAGGUGGCUUCCAGCUUUUGUGUGACGACUCCCUACCAGUCCCACGGCUCACCGUAGCUGACUACGGCAUCCAGAUAAACAGCUUAUCCAUUAGCACCGGCGAGGCCCAUGCCUCCCUCAACGCGACUCGCCGCUGCUACAACAGCAAGGGGAGCGUCAUUAGCCAAGGCGGCCCGGUAGCUGUACCACUCGUUGGGACCAACCUCCUCUUCUCGGCCACCAAGAACCGCCUCGUCGUGCUCGGCUGCCCCAACCUCGGCUACUUCAACGACGUUGACGGCUACUACGUCAGUGGCUGCAUGGCUGUGUGCCGGCCACGGAAAUCCACUGCAUCGGGGUCCUGCACAGGCGUCGGCUGCUGCCAGAGCAUGAUACCCCCCGCUGUCGACUACUAUCAGCCGUACCUGCUCGACAUCCCAAAGAGCAAGGGAGACCUGAUCAUCUAUGUAAACAGCGUGACCUGCCGGUAUGUGUUCUUGGUGGAGGAGACGUGGUUACAUACCAACUACACCAGCAAGAACCACAACAAGACCGACGACUUCGCCGUGCCUGUCGUGCUCGACUGGGCUGUCCGGAACGUGGAAAACUGCAGAGGCGCUAGGAAGAAUGCAACCGCAUAUGCAUGCCGGAGCACGCUCAGCAAGUGCGUCGACUCCAAAAACGGCGCUGGGUACCGUUGCGGCUGCUCCAAGGGAUAUGAGGGCAACCCCUAUUUAUAUGAUGGAUGCAAAGACAUCAAUGAGUGUGAGCGGAAAGGAAAACACGCAUGCUACGGGGUCUGCACAAAUACGCCCGGAAGCUACACUUGCCAAUGCCCUCCUGGGACUAGUGGAGACGCCACCGUGAAGAAUGGUUGCCGGCCAAAGGACAGUUUCACUUUAGCCGUGAAAGUAGUUACAGGAAUCAGCCUUGGAGUGUUCUUGCCAUUUUUCAUGUGCUUCUGGCUCUACUUGGGACUCCAGAAGAGGAAGCUUAUCAGAACAAAGCAGAAGUUCUUCGAGCUAAAUGGAGGCCUCUUCCUGCAGCAGCAAAUACAUAACUACAAUGGCAACAGCAAAGGCACUGGUGGGUUCAAGAUCUUUUCCAAGGAAGAGCUGGAGAAAGCGACCAAAAACUUUGCAGCCGACCGUGUUCUCGGCCAUGGAGGACACGGCAUUGUCUACAAGGGUGUCCUUGAGGACAAGACAGUGGUGGCGAUCAAGAAGUCAAAGAUAAUGGAAGAGGCCCAGACCAAAGAAUUCGCGAGGGAGAUGUUCAUCCUCUCCCAGAUCAACCACAGGAAUGUCGUCAAGCUGCUCGGAUGCUGUCUCGAAGCAGAAGUGCCCAUGUUGGUCUACGAGUUCGUCUCAAAUGGCACCCUCGACCAAUACAUCCAUGGUGGCAAGGGUAUCAACUCCGACAGAGCUUUUGGCACCUGUCUUCGGGUAGCAGUAGAGUCAGCCGAGGCAUUGGCGUACAUGCACUCUUCGGCCUCGCCGCCAAUCAUUCAUGGAGACGUCAAGACAGCAAACAUUUUGUUGGAUGACAAGCUCACAGCAAAAGUUUCUGAUUUUGGAGCAUCAAAAUUGGCACCAACUGAUGAGGCCACGAUUGCAACGCUGGUGCAAGGAACUUGUGGUUACCUUGAUCCAGAAUACCUAAUAACAUGCUUGCUGACUGACAAGAGUGAUGUGUACAGCUUUGGCGUCGUCCUAUUGGAGCUUCUAACAAGGAAGAAGGCGUUGUACUUGGACGGGUCGGCAAAAGAUAGAAGCCUCGUUUUAUGCUUCAUGACGGCAGCGAAGGUAGGUCAGCACCAAGAGCUUCUGGACAGACAAGUAAGGGAUGAGAUGAGAAUCGAAGUGCUCGAAGAGAUCACGCACCUCGUGAUAAGAUGCUUGAACAUGAGUGGGGAGGAACGGCCGACGAUGAAGGAGGUUGCGGAGAGGCUGGAGAUGCUGAGGAGAUACCAGCACCAUCCGUGGGCUCAAGCGGAUGGGAAUCAACAGAAUGUGAAUUACAAGUUCACGCAGGAUUACAUCCUUGAUUUUUGA